AUGAACGCUGGCGGCGUGCCUAAUCCAUGCAAGUCGAGCGAACAGACGAGGAGCUUGCUCCUCUGACGUUAGCGGCGGACGGGUGAGUAACACGUGGAUAACCUACCUAUAAGACUGGGAUAACUUCGGGAAACCGGAGCUAAUACCGGAUAAUAUAUUGAACCGCAUGGUUCCAUAGUGAAAGACGGUUUUGCUGUCACUUAUAGAUGGAUCCGCGCCGCAUUAGCUAGUUGGUAAGGUAACGGCUUACCAAGGCGACGAUGCGUAGCCGACCUGAGAGGGUGAUCAGCCACACUGGAACUGAGACACGGUCCAGACUCCUACGGGAGGCAGCAGUAGGGAAUCUUCCGCAAUGGGCGAAAGCCUGACGGAGCAACGCCGCGUGAGUGAUGAAGGUCUUCGGAUCGUAAAACUCUGUUAUUAGGGAAGAACAAAUGUGUAAGUAACUAUGCACGUCUUGACGGUACCUAAUCAGAAAGCCACGGCUAACUACGUG
Molecule: ribosomal RNA, 496 nt
Filed under: uncultured bacterium
Lineage: Bacteria
Description: partial 16S ribosomal RNA
Rfam family: Bacterial small subunit ribosomal RNA
Source: RNAcentral